UACGAAGGGGGCUAGCGUUGCUCGGAAUCACUGGGCGUAAAGCGCACGUAGGCGGCUUUCUAAGUCAGGGGUGAAAUCCUGGAGCUCAACUCCAGAACUGCCUCUGAUACUGGAGAGCUUGAGUCCGGAAGAGGUGAGUGGAACUCCGAGUGUAGAGGUGAAAUUCGUAGAUAUUCGGUGGAACACCAGUGGCGAAGGCGACUCGCUGGACUGAUACUGACGCUGAGGUGCGAAAGCGUGGGGAGCAAACAGG
RNAcentral lists this ribosomal RNA (253 nucleotides) under uncultured bacterium. Its description in RNAcentral is "partial 16S ribosomal RNA". It matches the Rfam family "Bacterial small subunit ribosomal RNA", at positions 524 to 776 of the family's 1533-position model. The record is from RNAcentral.